Long non-coding RNA from Gasterosteus aculeatus aculeatus (three-spined stickleback), 377 nucleotides. The record is from Ensembl. NCBI's taxonomy places the organism in Eukaryota, Metazoa, Chordata, Actinopteri, Perciformes, Gasterosteidae.
UGCGGCUGUUCACGGCAAUUUGCGGGCAACGCCGAAAACUGCCGUAAAUUUUUAGAAAUUGAUGUGGGCCUCCCUUGGCAGUUGUCCCCCCAUGACCCCCCUCCUCCUAAUUCUAGGGGAGGCUUUGACAUGUAAAUGAAAAUGCUGUGAGCUAUACAAACGCAAAUCAGGGUCGCAGAGGGAGUUUUAGCCCAGGUGACAUUUUUUUAAAAGACUAAUCUCGCCUCAUAAUGAGGCGGUGACCUCGUAUUUGCUCCGGGAAAAGUCCAGAUUUAGACGACGUCAUUGUCUCCGCCUGUGAGAUGUAUUGUGAGACGGGACGCAGGAGCUUCAGGUUCAGCCGGAACACUCAUUGCGGGCGGAAGCUGCGAAGGAUU